GGCUGAAGCACCCAGGCACUUGGACAGAGGGACAGGACAGAGGGAUGUCUGGACAUGUUGUCACCCCAGGACCCUUGGACCCUCCAGUUCUGGUUUUUGAAAACCAGAAACAGAUGGACUAAUCCAAGCUCCUCAGAGCAGACGGCGUCUCAAGCUCCCUGCGUUGAGGAACGGAGCUCCCCUGCAGAGAGCUGCAGCCGUGGAAUAAUUGACUCCAGCUCUGCCGUGGAAAGAACACCCUGAGAACUUUAAACCAUUAGCCUUUCCACUGGCCCCAUGGUCAACAACUGGUGGGAAGAUGUGUCCUCGUCUGAUCCUUGGGGUCACACGCAUCACCCAGCUGCCAGACACUGGGUAUCCAUGGACCUGCUGGGGUGAUUCAGUAUCCACUGCACCUCUAGCUGGUGGAGAGCCUGCUUCCCCCUAAUGAGUUCCAGAGCCCAUUCUUUAUCGUCUGAAACUGUUCUGAGGCCUUCCAGGAACAUCCAGCUGAACAGGUGGUACCUGCCUCUCAAGAUACAGGAGAGAAGCUGAACCUCUUCCUCGUGUCAAGAGGAACAGGCAUGGGAUGGUGGGCCUGGCAGAUGAGGCUUUGAGAGGAGAUUCUGCGAACCCUGAGGAGACAAGGUGCUCCGUAAAUGAAUGUCAGUCAGAUGUCAGGCACUCUGCUGGGGCAACAUGGAGAUGAGUCAGACACGGUCUCAGCCUUGCAGUGGAACGAAGGAGAAAAAA
Odocoileus virginianus texanus is the source of this 732-nucleotide non-coding RNA. NCBI's taxonomy places the organism in Eukaryota, Metazoa, Chordata, Mammalia, Artiodactyla, Cervidae. The record is from RefSeq and is a predicted model, not a curated record.